Molecule: long non-coding RNA, 326 nt
Filed under: Elaeis guineensis (African oil palm)
Lineage: Eukaryota; Viridiplantae; Streptophyta; Magnoliopsida; Arecales; Arecaceae
Description: long non-coding RNA (EGUI_LNC067278)
Source: RNAcentral
CCAAGCAUACACCUUACAAUUAUACUGUAGAGCAAACACAGAAAAUUUUUCUUUUUAUAAUAUAUAUAUAUUUAUAAUAAAGUGAGAAAAGAAUGAAGAAAAUCUAAAGAGAAGAAUCUAAGAAUCUUAAAUUUAUGAAAAGGGAGAAAUUAGUUAAUGUUUAGAUAUUAAUUGCAAUCAACUUAAACAAGCAUAGACUCUCUAUCCUAAGGUUAACAUAGAUCUAGACAGCUCCUAACUUUCAAGACCGCCUUUGAGCACUCCAAGCUCAAGACUGACUAACUGACUCGGCCAGGUAAGCGUAAGAUGUUGGAGGUUCCCUGCUC